CAGCAAACCAAUGUUACUUAACUUAUAACUUUUGCUUCUUUAGAUGUUUUUUUAUAAAUCUAGGAAACAAGAUCAUAGAUUGAUUUUCAGUAUAAAUUAUACUUGCUCAUAUAAAUGAGAUUUCAUAGAUCAGAGUUUCAAACUGGGAUGCACAGGGAUAGAUUGUUAGAACUUGAAUUUGCUAGUUUGAAAAUACAGGCAUACUUUGUUAUUGCAACAGUUAAAUUCCAUGCCACUAUUGGAUGGAAUCUAACUGUUGCAAUAACACUAAACAGUAAAGCUAAUCACAGUCAUUUUUCAUUUGCUAAUGCACAUAAAAACCUAAAAACAUAUUUACACUAAUAUUUAUUAACUAUACAAUCAUGCUAGGCC
Molecule: long non-coding RNA, 372 nt
Filed under: Androctonus crassicauda
Lineage: Eukaryota; Metazoa; Arthropoda; Arachnida; Scorpiones; Buthidae
Source: RNAcentral